UGGGGAAUAUUGCACAAUGGGCGAAAGCCUGAUGCAGCGACGCCGCGUGGGGGAUGACGGCCUUCGGGUUGUAAACCUCUUUCAGCAAGGAAGAAGCGAAAGUGACGGUACUUGCAGAAGAAGCGCCGGCUAACUACGUGCCAGCAGCCGCGGUAAUACGUAGGGCGCAAGCGUUGUCCGGAAUUAUUGGGCGUAAAGGGCUUGUAGGUGGCUUGUCGCGUCUGCCGUGAAAACUCGAGGCUUAACCUUGGGCGUGCGGUGGGUACGGGCAGGCUAGAGUGCGGUAGGGGAGACUGGAAUUCCUGGUGUAGCGGUGAAAUGCGCAGAUAUCAGGAGGAACACCGAUGGCGAAGGCAGGUCUCUGGGCCGUUACUGACACUGAGAAGCGAAAGCAAGGGGAGCGAACAGG
Molecule: ribosomal RNA, 409 nt
Filed under: Actinomycetes bacterium
Lineage: Bacteria; Bacillati; Actinomycetota; Actinomycetes
Description: Actinobacteria bacterium partial 16S ribosomal RNA
Rfam family: Bacterial small subunit ribosomal RNA
Source: RNAcentral